UCCUCAUUAAGGCACCCAGUCCAUCACAGAUACAGAGCCUCAAGAGCUUUUCAGCGCUGGGAGGAGCUGCUCCACCUGCCCCGGCACAAACCAGGCUACCCUGGGAGCCCACUCCUUGGAGACGCACACUGAGGGCAGUAAUGCUGUUGUGGGGCUCUGCUUCCUUGAAGCAAGAAAAGCCACUGCAGAGACAGGAGGAGCUAACCUGGUGUCAUGUGGAGGAUCUGGGUAUGUCAGAUUCUGGAAUACAUUUAAGAAGCAACUUCUGGCUGAAUUCUUGGCUCAUGGUGGAGUUGGAUCCAUUAUUAUGUCUACUGAUAGGUCAAACCGAUACCUCGCCACAGGAGAUCUGGAUGGACAGCUGAAAAUUUGGGUUAUAGAAGAGUACUGUCUUAAUUCCAGUAAGAGCAAAAUCACCCAGGCCCCAGCUCUGAUACGAUCAUUCCGC
Molecule: long non-coding RNA, 448 nt
Filed under: Ursus americanus (American black bear)
Lineage: Eukaryota; Metazoa; Chordata; Mammalia; Carnivora; Ursidae
Description: lncRNA (ENSUAMG00000021576.1)
Source: RNAcentral